UACGGAGGGUGCGAGCGUUGUCCGGAAUCACUGGGCGUAAAGGGCUCGUAGGUGGCCAACUAAGUCAGACGUGAAAUCCCUCGGCUUAACCGGGGAACUGCGUCUGAUACUGGAUGGCUUGAGUUCGGGAGAGGGAUGCGGAAUUCCAGGUGUAGCGGUGAAAUGCGUAGAUAUCUGGAGGAACACCGGGUGGCGAAGGCGGCAUCCUGGACCGACACUGACGCUGAGGAGCGAAAGCCAGGGGAGCAAAGCGGG
Molecule: ribosomal RNA, 255 nt
Filed under: uncultured bacterium
Lineage: Bacteria
Description: partial 16S ribosomal RNA
Rfam family: Bacterial small subunit ribosomal RNA
Source: RNAcentral